This 1737-nucleotide long non-coding RNA is filed under the name Pan troglodytes (chimpanzee). RNAcentral describes it as "long non-coding RNA NONPTRT014489". The record is from RNAcentral. Lineage: Eukaryota; Metazoa; Chordata; Mammalia; Primates; Hominidae.
UGUCCUAUGCUAUGAAUAGUGCUAGCCUAGUACUGAAGGUAGGUCAAUGUUAGUGACUCUAUACAUAAUACCUUUGACCAUAUAUGGAGAACCAAAGAACAUAAUGAAGCUGGUUGGUUGCUCCUAACUUCAGUGGACAAAGGGAUGAAAGAAAAUGAUGAAAGCCUCGCCAGGUGUCUACUGUUAAAGUGAGGGCAUUGAUUGGAAGAGAAUGGGACUCUGCAACUUGGAAUGGGGAUGUAUGGGAGGACCUGAUGAAGCUGGGGACACUGAGUUUGUAAACUCUGAUGAAACUUUUUUGCCAGAAGGAACAGCUUUCCCAUUCACAGUAAUGACAACAUCCCCUCCCCAACCCAUGCUGCCAUCAGCCUUUCCACCUUUUCUGAGGAGACAAACCCUGUGCUGCCUGAGUCAACAGUGAUGACCUGCCCUGAGGCAGUUGCCAAGCAAGAUAAUGUUGUUUCUCCUUAGGAGCCACCCCCAACACCCCUGUUUGCUUCUAGACUUAUAACUAGAAUAAAGUCCCAGUGGGUCCCUAGAGGUGAGGUGGGAAUGGAUAUUAAGGGUAUGGGAUAAUGGUGGAAGGAACAGAAUUGGAUCAGGCUGAAUUUACUGAUUUGGGUCCACUAAGAAAGAACUCUGUUAUUAAUUUUGCAGCUUGGGGAGUUUAAAAAGGUUCUAAUAGUUUAUUUGCUUGGUUAGCUGAAAUAUGAAUUAAAAGAUGGCCCACUGUGAGUAAGCUGGUAAUGCCUGAUCUCCCUUGGUUUAAUGUAGAGGAAGGGAUCCAAAGGCUUAGGGAGAUUGGGAUGGUGAAGUGGAUUAGUCAUCUUAGACCUACUCAUCCCAGCUGGGAGGGUCCAGAAAAUAUACCCUUGACCAAUGCCUUGCAAAAUAGAUUUGUAAGGGCAGCACCUGCAUCUUUGAUGACCCCUGUAAUUGCUCUUCUCUGUAUGUCAGAUCUAACAGUGGGAAAUGCAGCCUCUCAACUACAAAAUUUAAAUACAAUGGGAAUAAUUGGUUUCUGGGGUGGCAAAAUUUAAAUACAAUGGGAACAAUUGGUUCUGGCAGGGGCCAAGUGGCAGCACUCAACCAUCAAAGGCCAGGUGGGUGUAACUACCGUAAUGGACAGCAGAGGCAAAGCAGCAAUCAGAAUAGUCUGAUUCAUGUAGAACACUAGUCCGUUACAUUGGUGAUAUUAUGCUGAUUGGAUCCAGUGAGCAAGAAGUAGUAAACACAUUGCUACCUCGGUAAAAUUUCUAGGGAUCCAGUGGUGUGAGGCCUGUUGAGGUAUACUCCUUGUAAGGUGAAGGAUAAGUUGCUGCAUUUGGCUCCUCAUACAACCAAGAAAGAGAAACAAUGCCUAGUAGGCCUGUUUGGAUUUGGGAGGCAACACAUUCCUCAUUUGGGUGUGUUACUCUCGCUUAGAGCAAGGUUCUGCCAUAUUCUGCAGAUAACUACUUUCCUUUUGAGAGACAGCUCUUGGCCUGUUACUGGGCUUUGUUGGAAACUGACCGUUUGACUGUGGGUCAUCAUGGAAGUGGUAUAUACGUGAUCAGACUCGAGCAGGUCCUGAAGGCACAAGUAAGUUACAUGAGGAAGUGGCUCAAAUGCCCAUGGUCUCCACCCCACCACCCUGCCUUCUCUUCCCCAGCCUGCACCAGUGGCCUCAUGGGGAGUUCCCUAUCAUCAGUUGACAGAGGAAGAGAAGACUAGGGCCUGGUUCACAGAUGAUUCUGC